AUCAGUAACGUCACCUGCAGAUAGUAUUCUAUCUCCUUCGUAAUUCUCGGAAUCCAUUUCUUCACGGCUUCCACUGAAUUUAACGUCGCCUGCACACGAAAGCAUGGAUUAGCAAGCCACAAGCGAUUCAAUUUUCCAAGCUGCUUCUCUUCGUUUCUCGCCAUUCCAAACGGAUUUCCGGCAACAGGGAGUCAUAUGAAGUUCGAUCGAGGGUCACAUGACACGGGGAUGAGUACAUUCGAAUGUGCCAGGAACUAAACAAAUAACCCUCGUCUGCAGCCCACAGAAACUAACCAGGUUUGUUUAGAGUCCUGCUCUGGGUCGAGGCUUUGAACCUGAUCCUACAGACACACACACACACACACACAGUCAUUACUGUUCUAUGAAGUUGCUUUGGUAAAUUCCAGGGUAGCUAAUAAAUAAUCUAUUUAGACUGUUUCACAAGAACUUCAAUGAAAGGGACUUCCUCUGAGGCUGACCCUUACCUUAAUACUCUCUCUCUCUCUCUCUCUCUCUCUCUCUCUAUUUCUCUUUGUCAUACACACAUAUGUUUUUUCACAUCACAGUUACAAUUAUUGUUACAGUUUAAAGUCUAGUUUCAAUCGUAACAAAAACUGACAUACUGUCUGUAAUACGGUUCAAUAAACGGAAGGAGGCGGGAACCGGCGAACAUUUAAAUAAAGUUUAAUCAAAAACAAACAAACAAUACUAGUAAAAUGCCGGCAGCCACCUCAUGGUCGACUGCCAGCACCAAGAAC
Molecule: long non-coding RNA, 758 nt
Organism: Triplophysa dalaica
Lineage: Eukaryota; Metazoa; Chordata; Actinopteri; Cypriniformes; Nemacheilidae
Exons: 3
Source: RefSeq, a predicted model, not a curated record